UACAUCCUGUGAGUUUGGACAAAGCUAUAGUAACAUACGCCCACCCCUGAGGCCCCUGCUUGAGGGAAGUCUAAUCUCUGCCUGCCCCUCUGUCCUUCCCUAACCCUGACAACCACCAUUUGUAGCUUCUUUACUCACUCAUGUGAUAAAAAAGGCUCUGGUGGAAAAAACUUGAAGGAGAAAGGACUUGUUUUGGCCCACAGCUCGAGGGGACAUCAAUCAGGUCAGAAAGGUCGAGGCGGCAGGAAAGGUCGAGGCGGCAGGAACUUGAAGCGGUUGGUCUUGUGACACCCACAGUGAGGAAGCACAGAGUGAUAAGCUCUGCUGCCACCCUAUCCAGCCCACCUCAGAUAAAGUCAGAUAGUCAAGAUGGCCGCCCAUAGGCCUGCCUGGAGCCCAUCUCCCGGGUGGUCCUAGAUUCUGUCAAGAACCAUGCCAACUCCCAGAGCUGUUCAAAGCCCACCGCCCAGAAGAAGAGGCAGUAUGGACUGCAGUGUGCCAUGAGACAGGAAGUGGCUCCUCAGCAAACCUGAACAUUCGCAGAGGCAGGAGGGUCAUGCAGCUAUGGCCGGGAGAGUGGUUUCAGAGCUGUGUCACCACUAUUCAAGAACUCACAAUAGAAGAUGCAGACACACACCUGCCAGGCAGGGAGCCAUGUCCGGGACCCCAAGGCCAAGUGAAUAGCUUCAGGAAGAUUUCACUUUCUGAGGAGCUCAGAUAGUAGUGCGGUGUGGCAGACGCUCACCUGGCUGCCUGCUCUGUGGCCCAGGCUCUGUGACCUCAGUCCAGCAAGGGCAGAGUGUGGAAUGCCACUCGGCCGUGGGAGUUUGGGAACCUUGAGAAAAAUGGUACCCAAGCUUUGUGACAGUCUACAGCUCAUCAGGCAAGUACUUCACAGACCGAGCCAGUGUCUUAGCCUUCGUCCCAUCCUCCAGCUACGUGGUGUGGAGACCAUGAUCCUAAUAUGUGUGCAUGCACUUAUUUUUAAUGAACCACACAUGAACAAACGCACCAAAAUAUCACACGGGCUGUGAGGCAAAGGAAAUGAAGGCACCGUUCACAUUCUAAAAA
This 1071-nucleotide long non-coding RNA is filed under the name Mus musculus (house mouse). RNAcentral describes it as "predicted gene, 50000". Lineage: Eukaryota; Metazoa; Chordata; Mammalia; Rodentia; Muridae. The record is from RNAcentral.